Long non-coding RNA from Fukomys damarensis (Damara mole-rat), 279 nucleotides. RefSeq lists it as uncharacterized. The record is from RefSeq and is a predicted model, not a curated record. Lineage: Eukaryota; Metazoa; Chordata; Mammalia; Rodentia; Bathyergidae. The transcript is spliced from 4 exons.
UUGGGUGGGCCGCGCGCCGGGCCCGGUGCUGCUCCUGUGGCUUGGAGAAAGCUAGAGUGAGCUGUACCCUUGACUUGCGGAGCGGCUGGCUCAGUCAUGGCCGACUACUGGAAGUCUCAACCAAAGAAAUUCUGUGAUUACUGCAAGUGCUGGAUAGCAGAUAAUAGGCCUAGUGUUGAAUUUCGUGAAAGGGGGAAGAAUCAUAAGGAAAAUGUGGCAAAGAGGGAUCAGUGAGAUUAAACAGAAAAGCCUGGACAAGGCAAAAGAAGAAGAAAAGGC